AAGUAUCAUUAACUGAAUACAUAGGUUAAUGAGGCAAACCGGGGGAACUGAAACAUCUAAGUACCCCGAGGAAGAGAAAUCAACCGAGAUUCCGGUAGUAGCGGCGAGCGAAACCGGAUUAGCCCUUAAGUUAGUUCAGCGUUAGGUGAAGGUUCUGGAAAGUACCGCGAUACAGGGUGAUAGCCCCGUAACCAACAACGCUUUAUUAGUGAAAUCGAGUAGGACGGGACACGUGAUAUCCUGUUUGAACAUGGGGGGACCAUCCUCCAAGGCUAAAUACUCCUGACUGACCGAUAGUGAACCAGUACCGUGAGGGAAAGGCGAAAAGAACCCCUGUGAGGGGAGUGAAAUAGAACCUGAAACCGUGUACGUACAAGCAGUAGGAGCAUACUUGUUAUGUGACUGCGUACCUUUUGUAUAAUGGGUCAGCGACUUAAUUUUAGUAGCAAGGUUAACCGUUUAGGGGAGCCGUAGGGAAACCGAGUCUUAACUGGGCGAAUUAGUUGCUAGGAUUAGACCCGAAACCGAGUGAUCUAGCCAUGGGCAGGUUGAAGGUGAGGUAACACUUACUGGAGGACCGAACCGACUAAUGUUGAAAAAUUAGCGGAUGACUUGUGGCUAGGGGUGAAAGGCCAAUCAAACUCGGAGAUAGCUGGUUCUCCCCGAAAGCUAUUUAGGUAGCGCCUCGGACGAAUACUACUGGGGGUAGAGCACUGUUAAGGCUAGGGGGUCAUCCCGACUUACCAACCCUUUGCAAACUCCGAAUACCAGUAAGUAAUAUCCGGGAGACACACGGCGGGUGCUAACGUCCGUCGUGAAGAGGGAAACAACCCAGACCGCCAGCUAAGGUCCCAAAGUUAUAGCUAAGUGGGAAACGAUGUGGGAAGGCUCAGACAGCCAGGAUGUUGGCUUAGAAGCAGCCAUCAUUUAAAGAAAGCGUAAUAGCUCACUGGUCGAGUCGGCCUGCGCGGAAGAUUUAACGGGGCUAAGCUAUACACCGAAGCUGCGGCAAU
Molecule: ribosomal RNA, 1013 nt
Filed under: Photobacterium aquimaris
Lineage: Bacteria; Pseudomonadati; Pseudomonadota; Gammaproteobacteria; Vibrionales; Vibrionaceae
Description: bacterial LSU rRNA
Rfam family: Bacterial large subunit ribosomal RNA
Source: RNAcentral